Molecule: ribosomal RNA, 406 nt
Filed under: uncultured bacterium
Lineage: Bacteria
Description: partial 16S ribosomal RNA
Rfam family: Bacterial small subunit ribosomal RNA
Source: RNAcentral
AUUGAACGCUGGCGGCAGGCCUAACACAUGCAAGUCGAACGAGUGGCGGACGGGUGAGUAAUGUCUGGGAAACUGCCUGAUGGAGGGGGAUAACUACUGGAAACGGUAGCUAAUACCGCAUACCAUCGGAUGUGCCCAGAUGGGAUUAGCUAGUAGGUGGGGUAAAGGCUCACCUAGGCGACGAUCCCUCGCUGGUCUGAGAGGAUGACCAGCCACACUGGAACUGUGACACGGUCCCGACUCCUCCGGGAGGCAGCAGUGGGGAAUAUUGCAGAAUGGGCGCAAGCCUGAUACAGACAGGCCGCGAGUAUGAAGAAGGCCUGCGGGUUGUAAAGUACUUUCAGCGGGGAGGCGUUACCCGCAGAAGAAGCACCGGCUAACUCCGUGCCAGCAGCCGCGGUAAUAC